Molecule: long non-coding RNA, 1024 nt
Filed under: Homo sapiens (human)
Lineage: Eukaryota; Metazoa; Chordata; Mammalia; Primates; Hominidae
Description: non-protein coding lnc-DHX38-27:3
Source: RNAcentral
GAGGUGGCUUCCGGCCGCCAGGCGAGACUCCGCGGGAAAACUCCCUGCUAGAGAGACUAGGAGAUUUGGGGCUGCGGCCGUUUCCUCCGGAGCACCCACGGGACUGUGUGCUGGGGUCCCUCCACCGGCUGUGUCCUUUAUUCUUCUUUCUCACCCAACGAUUUACCUGAACGGUUAUAAAGUGCACGUUAUUUCCCUAAGCACUUUGAGUAUAUUGGCCCACUGCAUUCUGGACUUCAAAAUUUCUGAUGCGAAAUAUGCUGAUACUUUUGUUGAAGAAAUCUGGUCCUUCUUACUGAUGUGUUGCUCUUCUUCAUGGCUCGUGAAAACUAUUAGAGUCAUCCAAGGAUGAAACAAUCCUAUUAACCCAUGGAUUUAAUGUCUACAAAGCAGAAAGUAGAAUAACUUGGACUUAAAGGUACUUAUGUCAUGCUAUUUUACCAAUUGAUUGUUAACGAAACAUCUAAACAGUAUUAAGCACUUGCUAGGUGCUGGGGAUUACAAAAAUCAAUGGUUGCCACAUAGCUCCUAACCAUAAACAGCUGACAAACUCUAUCUGACAACAAGAGAAGCAUAGAAUUUAAGUUCUCCUCCUCCAACCUUCCUAAAAGUAGAGAAAGUGAUAAUGUUACAUGUUCUUUGGCUUUAUAAUGUAGAAAAUAUAUCUGACUCAGAAGGCAAAUUGGGAUUUGACUGCAACUCUGACACCCGAGUUCCCAAUCUGUGAGGCUUAGUUCUCGAGGCUGCAAAACGAAGGUAGCAUUGGACCCAAGAAGAAUAUGAGAACCUAAUGAACGUGCUCUAAUAUCCCCCAUGGAAAGGCACAAUGGUAUUUUUUUUAAAUAAUCAUGAUUAUAAUAACAGAGGUACUUUACAAUUGGCACAAAAGUUAAAGCUGGAACAAAGCAGGCAAGAUUAACAUGGCCACUCUGUAAGAAUAAUAUGCAAAUCUAUAAGGUAUUUUCUAUAGUGAUGAACAAUGAUUUGCUCCUUAAUCUACAUUUUCACUGCCCUUUAUCUAUAC